CUUGCAGAAAAUAAAAACAGGGCUAAAUGUACAGAAGGAAGCCCCUUCUCUUCCUAAAACCACUCACCGCAAGCGAUUCCCAGGCAAAGAAACGUUUCUUUCCGACGGGGCUUGUCUUUCCCCUUCCCUCCUCCUCUUCUCGGUCGGCUUUUUCGAGCUUCUCUCUCAGCUGUUCUCAUCAGGGCUUUAAUUCCACCUCCCCCAUUUAGCUAGACCUUAGUUGUCUUAUUAGCAGCUGCUUGGACGCUUCCACUCCCUUGGAGAGAGGGGGUGAAUUCUCCAUGCAAUACUGGCUUAGUAACGCGUGUAGGANAAGAUUCAGAAAGAAACAGUACAAAUAGCUGAUUUCGCGUAAUUUUGCACCAGGUUGGACAAUACUGUUUGGGGGCAAAGGAUGAAAACGGAUUCCUUUAAAUAGUUCUAGUUUCCCCCCCCCCUCGCUCGGGUGAAAUAUGUUAUCUUCUCGAGAGAGGGGAGGGGACUGCGCAGUGUUUACGGAAGGCAGAGUCGUUUGUCCUCAGUUCUCCCUGAGAGUGUGUUUGUGUCUGUGGACUUCCACCCCCGCCCGGCCCCGAUUUUUGGGCUGAUGCCAGCAGGGUCGUUGAGGCAGACCUCCGUUGCCAGCCCCUGCUAGAGUCAGUUCCUGUGGCUUUUAAGGCGAUGUCAAGCCAAGUGUCACCAGGCGCAAUAAAUUGUUUCCCGAGAAAGGCACGAAAAGGAAAAAUACCAGAGUUUGAUCGUGAGAAGGACGCCUAAAGGCAGACAAAACCGUAAGAGGUUAAGCGGAGAGGCUGGGCUGCUGAGCAGGGAUCUGACACCUGCUCUUAGGGCAGUCCUCAGCCAACAGGCCAUGCUGGUUUCACUAAACCAGAGGAAAAAACGAACAUAUAAUGACUGGAACUUCAUCGUAGCAAACAUGUAUUGCAGUUGUUACUCAUUUCCAUGUAAAAUGCUAAUGAUGUUUUGCUAUAAAAUGCUCAGAAAUCAAGUUCCAUGCCUGACAACAAAAACAGAUUGCAGGACCAUGCUAUAGAUGAGCUGCUGAACUGCUGUCUCUUAUGCAUCUAGAUACUGUCUGGGAAGAACGGUUCAUUCUUAUUAAGGAUGGGCAAAGGACUAUUUCAGAACAUGUGAAAUAGCAACUCAUCAUUCUCUGGAAACCAGAAAGAUGAUGUACUUCCCUGUGCACCUGGCGUUUCCCCAGGAGCUUGCUAAGGAGUGGUGAAGCACAGCCAGCUGCAACAUUGAUCUGAUGAUAUCAGAGAGAGAGGUGCAGCAUUCCAAAUGUUCCUGAACUAUAACUCCCAGAGACAGAG
RNAcentral lists this long non-coding RNA (1316 nucleotides) under Salvator merianae (Argentine black and white tegu). Its description in RNAcentral is "lncRNA (ENSSMRG00000015898.1)". The record is from RNAcentral. Lineage: Eukaryota; Metazoa; Chordata; Lepidosauria; Squamata; Teiidae.